UCCAGACUCCUACGGGAGGCAGCAGUGGGGGAUAUUGCACAAUGGGGGAAACCCUGAUGCAGCGACGCCGCGUGAGUGAAGAAGUAUUUCGGUAUGUAAAGCUCUAUCAGCAGGGAAGAAAAAAGACGGUACCUGACUAAGAAGCCCCGGCUAACUACGUGCCAGCAGCCGCGGUAAUACGUAGGGGGCAAGCGUUAUCCGGAUUUACUGGGUGUAAAGGGAGCGUAGACGGCGAUGCAAGCCAGAUGUGAAAGCCCGGGGCUCAACCCCGGGACUGCAUUUGGAACUGUGUGGCUGGAGUGUCGGAGAGGCAGGCGGAAUUCCUAGUGUAGCGGUGAAAUGCGUAGAUAUUAGGAGGAACACCAGUGGCGAAGGCGGCCUGCUGGACGAUGACUGACGUUGAGGCUCGAAAGCGUGGGGAGCAAACAGGAUUAGAUACCCCCGUA
Molecule: ribosomal RNA, 446 nt
Filed under: uncultured bacterium
Lineage: Bacteria
Description: bacterial SSU rRNA
Rfam family: Bacterial small subunit ribosomal RNA
Source: RNAcentral